AGCGGCGGACGGGUUAGUAACGCGUGGGAAUAUGCCCUUUGGUACGGAAUAGCCUCUGGAAACGGAGAGUAAUACCGUAUGAGCCCUUCGGGGGAAAGAUUUAUCGCCAAAGGAUUAGCCCGCGUUAGAUUAGGUAGUUGGUGGGGUAAUGGCCUACCAAGCCUACGAUCUAUAGCUGGUUUUAGAGGAUGAUCAGCAACACUGGGACUGAGACACGGCCCAGACUCCUACGGGAGGCAGCAGUGGGGAAUCUUGGACAAUGGGGGCAACCCUGAUCCAGCCAUGCCGCGUGAGUGAUGAAGGCCUUAGGGUCGUAAAGCUCUUUCGCCUGUGAAGAUAAUGACGGUAGCAGGUAAAGAAACCCCGGCUAACUCCGUGCCAGCAGCCGCGGUAAUACGGAGGGGGUUAGCGUUGUUCGGAAUUACUGGGCGUAAAGCGCACGUAGGCGGAUCGGAAAGUUGGGGGUGAAAUCCCGGGGCUCAACCCCGGAACUGCCUCCAAAACUAUCGGU
This 511-nucleotide ribosomal RNA is filed under the name uncultured bacterium. Its description in RNAcentral is "bacterial SSU rRNA". It matches the Rfam family "Bacterial small subunit ribosomal RNA", at positions 94 to 640 of the family's 1533-position model. The record is from RNAcentral.